UACAGAGGGUGCAAGCGUUAAUCGGAAUUACUGGGCGUAAAGCGCACGUAGGCGGUUUUUUAAGUCAGAUGUGAAAGCCCCGGGCUCAACCUGGGAAUUGCAUUUGAAACUGGGGAACUAGAGUGUGUGAGAGGGGGGUAGAAUUCCAAGUGUAGCGGUGAAAUGCGUAGAGAUUUGGAGGAAUACCAGUGGCGAAGGCGGCACCCUGGCACAACACUGACGCUCAGGUGCGAAAGCGUGGGGAGCAAACAGG
Molecule: ribosomal RNA, 253 nt
Filed under: uncultured bacterium
Lineage: Bacteria
Description: partial 16S ribosomal RNA
Rfam family: Bacterial small subunit ribosomal RNA
Source: RNAcentral